This 373-nucleotide ribosomal RNA is filed under the name uncultured eukaryote. RNAcentral's name for it is "partial 18S ribosomal RNA". It matches the Rfam family "Eukaryotic small subunit ribosomal RNA", at positions 592 to 976 of the family's 1831-position model. The record is from RNAcentral.
CAAUAGCGUAUAUUAAAGUUGUUGCAGUUAAAAAGCUCGUAGUUGGAUUUCUGCGAGGGUGCCAAUGUCCGCCGACGCGCGUGCGCAGCGGCGCCCUCGCAUCCUUCUGUUACCACCUCUCGGCAUUCACUUGCCGGUGGUCGGCUCAGAGAAUUUACCUUGAGAAAAUUAGAGUGUUUCAGGCAGGCUAGGCCGGAAUACAUUAGCAUGGAAUAAUGGAAUAGGACUACGGUCUCGUUGUUGGUUUGAGGGACUGCAGUAAUGAUUAAUAGGGAUAGUUGGGGGCAUUAGUAUUUAAUUGUCAGAGGUGAAAUUCUUGGAUUUAUGAAAGACGAACUACUGCGAAAGCAUUUGCCAAGGAUGUUUUCAUUAA